CUAUAUUAAGAUAGAAUUCAAAGACAGGGAGAGCUAUGGUUUUCAAGCAAGCAGUAGAAAUUGACUUAACUACUUCACUAUGAAAACUGACUUAACUACUUAACUGCACUCUGAAAAAACCCUAGUAUGUAUGAUUUACUCUACCUGUAUGAUUGACUCUUGAAAACAUCACUUGUCAUCAUUUUGUAUCACUUUCAUUGUUGGGUGCUGCCGUAGAUUCUAUUGGAACAGGAGCUUAUCCUGCUCUUGGGACUUCAACGGAUACAGAUCUCGUCGACUAUACUAGAGUCACUUCCCGCUUCAACGCUAGGACCUGCUGAUUACAAUGCAUUUACAUGGCUAGGACCUGCUGAUUACAAUACAUUUAUAUGCUAGGGGAAACCAUCUUUUGUUCUCUUGCUUGCACCAAUCAUAAUAAUGAAUAAACCAACUACUUUACUUAUCCGACCCGAUCCAUCUUCUUAAUUAAUAUCUUAUAUCUAUUCUUCUUAAUUAACUUCAUUCAUUUAUAUAGGAGAGAGAGUUGAGUCGACUCGACCGGAAGCUGUUGCCGAAGCCUAAUCCAUUCUUUCUCAUGCCCACGUAGCGGUGCGAGUAUUAAGCCUAAACCUCUCAAUCAGAUGUUGUUCCAGCUAGAUCUGGAAGUAUAUCGGUCAUUCACUCGUUCUCCGGGGUCAUUCAUGGAGGCGUGAUCAACUGGUCGAGGGGGUACUGGUGUCAUGUCAUAGAAAAACAACUCUACUAUUUGGAUCAAUAGAAGAAAUCUCCUAUCUACUCAAUAGUAUUGCUUGUCUUGUAUUAAUACGAAAUAGAACUUGCCCGUGCCUCAAAGACUACUGACUGGUACAUAGCUUUCCAACAAUGGUACCCAUCGUGCGAAACCGUACAUUUGCUUUUUGGCACUUU
This 906-nucleotide long non-coding RNA is filed under the name Musa acuminata (dwarf banana). RNAcentral's name for it is "long non-coding RNA (MACU_LNC009130)". Lineage: Eukaryota; Viridiplantae; Streptophyta; Magnoliopsida; Zingiberales; Musaceae. The record is from RNAcentral.